UCUUAACUGGGCGUUAAGUUGCAGGGUAUAGACCCGAAACCCGGUGAUCUAGCCAUGGGCAGGUUGAAGGUUGGGUAACACUAACUGGAGGACCGAACCGACUAAUGUUGAAAAAUUAGCGGAUGACUUGUGGCUGGGGGUGAAAGGCCAAUCAAACCGGGAGAUAGCUGGUUCUCCCCGAAAGCUAUUUAGGUAGCGCCUCGUGAAUUCAUCUCCGGGGGUAGAGCACUGUUUCGGCAAGGGGGUCAUCCCGACUUACCAACCCGAUGCAAACUGCGAAUACCGGAGAAUGUUAUCACGGGAGACACACGGCGGGUGCUAACGUCCGUCGUGAAGAGGGAAACAACCCAGACCGCCAGCUAAGGUCCCAAAGUCAUGGUUAAGUGGGAAACGAUGUGGGAAGGCCCAGACAGCCAGGAUGUUGGCUUAGAAGCAGCCAUCAUUUAAAGAAAGCGUAAUAGCUCACUGGUCGAGUCGGCCUGCGCGGAAGAUGUAACGGGGCUAAACCAUGCACCGAAGCUGCGGCAGCGACGCUUAUGCGUUGUUGGGUAGGGGAGCGUUCUGUAAGCCUGUGAAGGUGUGCUGUGAGGCAUGCUGGAGGUAUCAGAAGUGCGAAUGCUGACAUAAGUAACGAUAAAGCGGGUGAAAAGCCCGCUCGCCGGAAGACCAAGGGUUCCUGUCCAACGUUAAUCGGGGCAGGGUGAGUCGACCCCUAAGGCGAGGCCGAAAGGCGUAGUCGAUGGGAAACAGGUUAAUAUUCCUGUACUUGGUGUUACUGCGAAGGGGGGACGGAGAAGGCUAUGUUGGCCGGGCGACGGUUGUCCCGGUUUAAGCGUGUAGGCUGGUUUUCCAGGCAAAUCCGGAAAAUCAAGGCUGAGGCGUGAUGACGAGGCACUACGGUGCUGAAGCAACAAAUGCCCUGCUUCCAGGAAAAGCCUCUAAGCAUCAGGUAACAUCAAAUCGUACCCCAAACCGACACAGGUGGUCAGGUAGAGAAUACCAAGGCGCUUGAGAGAACUCGGGUGAAGGAACUAGGCAAAAUGGUGCCGUAACUUCGGGAGAA
This 1063-nucleotide ribosomal RNA is filed under the name Escherichia coli. Its description in RNAcentral is "partial 23S ribosomal RNA". It matches the Rfam family "Bacterial large subunit ribosomal RNA", at positions 682 to 1744 of the family's 2925-position model. Lineage: Bacteria; Pseudomonadati; Pseudomonadota; Gammaproteobacteria; Enterobacterales; Enterobacteriaceae. The record is from RNAcentral.